CCUACGGGAGGCAGCAGUGGGGAAUUUUGGACAAUGGGCGCAAGCCUGAUCCAGCAAUGCCGCGUGCAGGAUGAAGGCCUUCGGGUUGUAAACUGCUUUUGUACGGAACGAAACGGUGAGCUCUAAUACAGUUUGCUAAUGACGGUACCGUAAGAAUAAGCACCGGCUAACUACGUGCCAGCAGCCGCGGUAAUACGUAGGGUGCGAGCGUUAAUCGGAAUUACUGGGCGUAAAGCGUGCGCAGGCGGUGAUGUAAGACAGAUGUGAAAUGCCCGGGCUCAACCUGGGACCUGCAUUUGUGACUGCAUCGCUAGAGUACGGUAGAGGGGGAUGGAAUUCCGCGUGUAGCAGUGAAAUGCGUAGAUAUGCGGAGGAACACCGAUGGCGAAGGCAAUCCCCUGGACCUGUACUGACGCUCAUGCACGAAAGCGUGGGGAGCAAACAGGAUUAGAUACCCUGGUAGUCCACGCCCUAAACGAUGUCAACUGGUUGUUGGGUCUUCACUGACUCAGUAACGAAGCUAACGCGUGAAGUUGACCGCCUGGGGAGUACGGCCGCGAAGGUUGAACGUUAAGGAAUUGACGGCUGAGAGNGCGAGGACGACGACGAGGGAGAGG
This 617-nucleotide ribosomal RNA is filed under the name uncultured bacterium. RNAcentral's name for it is "bacterial SSU rRNA". It matches the Rfam family "Bacterial small subunit ribosomal RNA", at positions 338 to 950 of the family's 1533-position model. The record is from RNAcentral.